CUUGGUCGCCGGGCGUCAUUGCACAAUUCUUUUUAAUCUCAGCCAUCGCGGGAAGAAGAUCUUGGGAAUCCAGAGGAAACUCUAGUAAUAGGAAGCCAGUGGACGCUCAAGUAACGACUCUGCUAUAAAAUGAAAGCUGUCGACAACAAGAAUGAAGUAAUUGCAUUAUAACAAUGAGUCGACUCUGGAAUGAGAAUUCUGUUAUCUUAUCGAACCCCAAUUAAGGAUGGCAACCCAAAAGACAGGAUAUCUGCUGUGAGGGAUCAAAAAAGCCUUUCCUGGAAAGGCCUAUUUAUUAAAUGGAAUACGCUUUGAGACUUCAAGCUAUGUGAAGUGGCUCCGCCGGCGACUUUAUGGCAAACUAAGUCUACGCGGUUGUCAACUCGCUCAUUUAUGUGAUGGACAGCAAUGCAACAGGACCUCCAGGACCAAGGGAGAGGACCCAGGGAAGUACAAGUGACAUGAAAACGCGAGCAAAAUUAAACAAAUCAUUGUCGGGUUCUCAUUCAUUCGCGUUUGCUUGCAUUGUAUUUUAAUUUUGCGCAAUUUCUUUUAACAAUUUGUAACGG
Molecule: long non-coding RNA, 569 nt
Organism: Ctenocephalides felis (cat flea)
Lineage: Eukaryota; Metazoa; Arthropoda; Insecta; Siphonaptera; Pulicidae
Exons: 3
Source: RefSeq, a predicted model, not a curated record